This 23-nucleotide non-coding RNA is filed under the name Arabidopsis thaliana (thale cress). Lineage: Eukaryota; Viridiplantae; Streptophyta; Magnoliopsida; Brassicales; Brassicaceae. The record is from RNAcentral.
AAGGUUGUAGAGAUAGCGCAAGA